RNAcentral lists this ribosomal RNA (253 nucleotides) under uncultured bacterium. RNAcentral describes it as "partial 16S ribosomal RNA". It matches the Rfam family "Bacterial small subunit ribosomal RNA", at positions 524 to 776 of the family's 1533-position model. The record is from RNAcentral.
UACAGAGGUCCCAAGCGUUGUUCGGAUUCACUGGGCGUAAAGGGUGCGUAGGUGGUUGGGCAAGUCUGAUGUGAAAUCUCCGGGCUUAACCCGGAAAUGGCAUUGGAAACUGCCUGGCUAGAGUGUUGGAGGGGGGACUGGAAUUCUCGGUGUAGCAGUGAAAUGCGUAGAUAUCGAGAGGAACACCAGUGGCGAAGGCGAGUCCCUGGACAACGACUGACACUGAGGCACGAAAGCUAGGGGAGCAAACGGG